UUUAGAUGUGCACAGGAGUUGGUCCCCCGGAGCUGGGAAGCGCCGCAGUAGACUUACCUGCCUCGCGCUCCUGCAGACAGAGCGUCGCGAGUGGCUGGCUGGGCAGAACCCCUUGAAGAAUCCCAUGAAAGCUGUGGAUCUUAAUCCUGGUGAAAAACACACAGCCACCAGAUUCCAGAUGCUAACAUGAUGCCAACCGGACUUCCCUGGACAGACGACCCCACUAAUAUGUCUUGGAGCUCUGAUUCCCCAGAACCCCACCCCACUAGGGAAAGAGAGAGGCAGGCUAGGAGUAUGGAUCGACCUGUCAACACCCAUGUUCAGCAGGGAAGCAAUUUCAGAAGCCAGACCUUCCACCUUCUGCACCCCAUGGUGACCCUGGGUCCAUGGGUCACCACGGGGUUAAAGAACAGGAGAGCUAUCAGGAGAAGGGAUUGGAUACGGAGCUCUGGUAGUGGGAAUUAUACCCCUUCUACCCUAUGGUCUUGUCAGGGUUUCCAUUUUAUAAAUAAAUUAAUUAAAAUAAAAUAAAAGUAAAAAAAAAAAAGAGAGAUCCAAAAGGCCAACAAACACAUGAAAAAAAAUGCUACAAGUCAUUGAUUGUCAGAAAAAUGCAAAUACAGACUAUAAUGAGAUACCACUUUACUCCUGUGAGAAUGUCACACAUCAGAAAAGGUAACAGCAACAAAUGCUAGAGAGGUUGUGGGGACAAAGGAACCCUCCUGCACUGCUGGUGGGAAUGCAAAUUAGUCUAACCCCUGUGGAGAGCAGUCUGGAGAAUUCUCAGAAGGCGAGAAAUGGACCUACCCUAUGACCCUGCAGUUCCUCUCCUGGGGAUAUAUUCUAAGGAAACAAACACACCCAUCCAAACAGAUUUGUGUAUA
This is a long non-coding RNA of Erinaceus europaeus (western European hedgehog), 884 nucleotides long. RefSeq lists it as uncharacterized. The transcript is spliced from 3 exons. The record is from RefSeq and is a predicted model, not a curated record. NCBI's taxonomy places the organism in Eukaryota, Metazoa, Chordata, Mammalia, Eulipotyphla, Erinaceidae.